GACGAACGCUGGCGGCGUGCUUAACACAUGCAAGUCGAACGGCAAGGCCCUGCUUUUUUGGGGUGCUCGAGUGGCGGACGGGUGAGUAACACGUGAGUAACCUGCCCUUCACUUUGGGGUAACUUCAGGAAACUGGGGCUACUACAGGAUAGGAUACCCUGCUCCGUGGUGAGGGUUGGAACGUCUCGGCGUGUGGGGAUGGACGCGCGGAUUAUCGGCUUGUUGGUGGGGUAGUGGAAUACCCAGGCUUGGACGGGUACCCGGCCUGAGAGGGUGACCGGCCACAUGGGGACUGAGAUACGGCCCAGACUCCAACGGGAGGCAGCAGUGGGGAAUAUUGCACAAUGGGCGGAAGCCUGAUGCAGCAACGCCGCGGUCGUGAUGACGUCCUUCGGGUUGUAAACCGCUGUCGCCUGUGACGAAGCGGUAGUGACGGUAAUGGGUAAAGAAGCACCGGCUAACUACGUG
This 468-nucleotide ribosomal RNA is filed under the name uncultured bacterium. Its description in RNAcentral is "partial 16S ribosomal RNA". It matches the Rfam family "Bacterial small subunit ribosomal RNA", at positions 28 to 507 of the family's 1533-position model. The record is from RNAcentral.